Molecule: ribosomal RNA, 374 nt
Filed under: uncultured organism
Description: partial 16S ribosomal RNA
Rfam family: Bacterial small subunit ribosomal RNA
Source: RNAcentral
GUAGGUGGCAAGCGUUGUCCGGAAUUAUUGGGCGUAAAGCGCGCGCAGGUGGUUCUUUAAGUCUGAUGUGAAAGCCCCCGGGCUCAACCCGGGGAGGGUCAUUGGAAACUGGGGAACUUGAGUGCAGGAGAGGAAAGUGGAAUUCCACGUGUAGCGGUGAAAUGCGUAGAUAUGUGGAGGAACACCAGUGGCGAAGGCGACUUUCUGGCCUGUAACUGACACUGAGGCGCGAAAGCGUGGGGAGCAAACAGGAUUAGAUACCCUGGUAGUCCACGCCGUAAACGAUGAGUGCUAAGUGUUGGGGGGUUUCCGCCCCUCAGUGCUGCAGCUAACGCAUUAAGCACUCCGCCUGGGGAGUACGGUCGCAAAGACUG